RNAcentral lists this ribosomal RNA (2786 nucleotides) under Escherichia coli. Its description in RNAcentral is "bacterial LSU rRNA". It matches the Rfam family "Bacterial large subunit ribosomal RNA". The record is from RNAcentral. Lineage: Bacteria; Pseudomonadati; Pseudomonadota; Gammaproteobacteria; Enterobacterales; Enterobacteriaceae.
AGCGUACACGGUGGAUGCCCUGGCAGUCAGAGGCGAUGAAGGACGUGCUAAUCUGCGAUAAGCGUCGGUAAGGUGAUAUGAACCGUUAUAACCGGCGAUUUCCGAAUGGGGAAACCCAGUGUGAUUCGUCACACUAUCAUUAACUGAAUCCAUAGGUUAAUGAGGCGAACCGGGGGAACUGAAACAUCUAAGUACCCCGAGGAAAAGAAAUCAACCGAGAUUCCCCCAGUAGCGGCGAGCGAACGGGGAGCAGCCCAGAGCCUGAAUCAGUGUGUGUGUUAGUGGAAGCGUCUGGAAAGGCGCGCGAUACAGGGUGACAGCCCCGUACACAAAAAUGCACAUGCUGUGAGCUCGAUGAGUAGGGCGGGACACGUGGUAUCCUGUCUGAAUAUGGGGGGACCAUCCUCCAAGGCUAAAUACUCCUGACUGACCGAUAGUGAACCAGUACCGUGAGGGAAAGGCGAAAAGAACCCCGGCGAGGGGAGUGAAAAAGAACCUGAAACCGUGUACGUACAAGCAGUGGGAGCACGCUUAGGCGUGUGACUGCGUACCUUUUGUAUAAUGGGUCAGCGACUUAUAUUCUGUAGCAAGGUUAACCGAAUAGGGGAGCCGAAGGGAAACCGAGUCUUAACUGGGCGUUAAGUUGCAGGGUAUAGACCCGAAACCCGGUGAUCUAGCCAUGGGCAGGUUGAAGGUUGGGUAACACUAACUGGAGGACCGAACCGACUAAUGUUGAAAAAUUAGCGGAUGACUUGUGGCUGGGGGUGAAAGGCCAAUCAAACCGGGAGAUAGCUGGUUCUCCCCGAAAGCUAUUUAGGUAGCGCCUCGUGAAUUCAUCUCCGGGGGUAGAGCACUGUUUCGGCAAGGGGGUCAUCCCGACUUACCAACCCGAUGCAAACUGCGAAUACCGGAGAAUGUUAUCACGGGAGACACACGGCGGGUGCUAACGUCCGUCGUGAAGAGGGAAACAACCCAGACCGCCAGCUAAGGUCCCAAAGUCAUGGUUAAGUGGGAAACGAUGUGGGAAGGCCCAGACAGCCAGGAUGUUGGCUUAGAAGCAGCCAUCAUUUAAAGAAAGCGUAAUAGCUCACUGGUCGAGUCGGCCUGCGCGGAAGAUGUAACGGGGCUAAACCAUGCACCGAAGCUGCGGCAGCGACACUAUGUGUUGUUGGGUAGGGGAGCGUUCUGUAAGCCUGUGAAGGUGUGCUGUGAGGCAUGCUGGAGGUAUCAGAAGUGCGAAUGCUGACAUAAGUAACGAUAAAGCGGGUGAAAAGCCCGCUCGCCGGAAGACCAAGGGUUCCUGUCCAACGUUAAUCGGGGCAGGGUGAGUCGACCCCUAAGGCGAGGCCGAAAGGCGUAGUCGAUGGGAAACAGGUUAAUAUUCCUGUACUUGGUGUUACUGCGAAGGGGGGACGGAGAAGGCUAUGUUGGCCGGGCGACGGUUGUCCCGGUUUAAGCGUGUAGGCUGGUUUUCCAGGCAAAUCCGGAAAAUCAAGGCUGAGGCGUGAUGACGAGGCACUACGGUGCUGAAGCAACAAAUGCCCUGCUUCCAGGAAAAGCCUCUAAGCAUCAGGUAACAUCAAAUCGUACCCCAAACCGACACAGGUGGUCAGGUAGAGAAUACCAAGGCGCUUGAGAGAACUCGGGUGAAGGAACUAGGCAAAAUGGUGCCGUAACUUCGGGAGAAGGCACGCUGAUAUGUAGGUGAAGUCCCUCGCGGAUGGAGCUGAAAUCAGUCGAAGAUACCAGCUGGCUGCAACUGUUUAUUAAAAACACAGCACUGUGCAAACACGAAAGUGGACGUAUACGGUGUGACGCCUGCCCGGUGCCGGAAGGUUAAUUGAUGGGGUUAGCGCAAGCGAAGCUCUUGAUCGAAGCCCCGGUAAACGGCGGCCGUAACUAUAACGGUCCUAAGGUAGCGAAAUUCCUUGUCGGGUAAGUUCCGACCUGCACGAAUGGCGUAAUGAUGGCCAGGCUGUCUCCACCCGAGACUCAGUGAAAUUGAACUCGCUGUGAAGAUGCAGUGUACCCGCGGCAAGACGGAAAGACCCCGUGAACCUUUACUAUAGCUUGACACUGAACAUUGAGCCUUGAUGUGUAGGAUAGGUGGGAGGCUUAGAAGUGUGGACGCCAGUCUGCAUGGAGCCGACCUUGAAAUACCACCCUUUAAUGUUUGAUGUUCUAACGUUGACCCGUAAUCCGGGUUGCGGACAGUGUCUGGUGGGUAGUUUGACUGGGGCGGUCUCCUCCUAAAGAGUAACGGAGGAGCACGAAGGUUGGCUAAUCCUGGUCGGACAUCAGGAGGUUAGUGCAAUGGCAUAAGCCAGCUUGACUGCGAGCGUGACGGCGCGAGCAGGUGCGAAAGCAGGUCAUAGUGAUCCGGUGGUUCUGAAUGGAAGGGCCAUCGCUCAACGGAUAAAAGGUACUCCGGGGAUAACAGGCUGAUACCGCCCAAGAGUUCAUAUCGACGGCGGUGUUUGGCACCUCGAUGUCGGCUCAUCACAUCCUGGGGCUGAAGUAGGUCCCAAGGGUAUGGCUGUUCGCCAUUUAAAGUGGUACGCGAGCUGGGUUUAGAACGUCGUGAGACAGUUCGGUCCCUAUCUGCCGUGGGCGCUGGAGAACUGAGGGGGGCUGCUCCUAGUACGAGAGGACCGGAGUGGACGCAUCACUGGUGUUCGGGUUGUCAUGCCAAUGGCACUGCCCGGUAGCUAAAUGCGGAAGAGAUAAGUGCUGAAAGCAUCUAAGCACGAAACUUGCCCCGAGAUGAGUUCUCCCUGACUCCUUGA